This 254-nucleotide ribosomal RNA is filed under the name uncultured bacterium. Its description in RNAcentral is "partial 16S ribosomal RNA". It matches the Rfam family "Bacterial small subunit ribosomal RNA", at positions 524 to 776 of the family's 1533-position model. The record is from RNAcentral.
CACGUAGGGGGCAAGCGUUGUCCGGAUUUAUUGGGCGUAAAGAGCUCGUAGGUGGUUCGGUAAGUCGGGUGUUAAACCCCCAGGCUCAACCUGGGGACGCCACUCGAUACUGCUGUGACUAGAGUCCGGUAGGGUAGCGUGGAAUUCCUGUUGUAGCGGUGAAAUGCGCAGAUAUCAGGAGGAACACCAGCGGCGAAGGCGGCGCUCUGGGCCGGUACUGACACUGAGGAGCGAAAGCGUGGGUAGCAAACAGG